RNAcentral lists this ribosomal RNA (403 nucleotides) under bacterium. RNAcentral describes it as "partial 16S ribosomal RNA". It matches the Rfam family "Bacterial small subunit ribosomal RNA", at positions 355 to 776 of the family's 1533-position model. RNAcentral also lists the same sequence under 1 other name. The record is from RNAcentral.
UGGGGAAUAUUGCACAAUGGAGGGAACUCUGAUGCAGCGACGCCGCGUGAACGAAGAAGGCUUUCGAGUCGUAAAGUUCCUUUAUAUGGGAAGAUAAUGACGGUACCAUAAGAAAAAGCCCCGGCUAACUACGUGCCAGCAGCCGCGGUAAUACGUAGGGGGCUAGCGUUGUCCGGAAUCACUGGGCGUAAAGGGUUCGCAGGCGGAAAUGCAAGUCAGGUGUAAAAGGCAGUAGCUUAACUACUGUAAGCAUUUGAAACUGCAUAUCUUGAGAAGAGUAGAGGUAAGUGGAAUUUUUAGUGUAGCGGUGAAAUGCGUAGAUAUUAAAAAGAAUACCGGUGGCGAAGGCGACUUACUGGGCUCAUUCUGACGCUGAGGAACGAAAGCGUGGGUAGCAAACAGG